AAAGCGAGGAGGAUGGCAUUGGCGUUUCUCUACAAGUAGUUCUCUGUGACAGGUGGAGAGAAGCACAGCAUAAGACCAACAGACGUCCUAAUAAUGUGUAGUCUGCUGACACUGCAUGCCUGUAAACAGCAGAGAUGAAGGAGCUAUGGAUUAUGGCUGUCUUUGCUACAGUCUCUUUUCCACAGGGGGAUCUCACCACAUCCUCUGCCAUUCCAACCACCAUUGACAUAACUACCCCAACUACUGAUGACCCUUUAACCCCUGAACCUCCAACUACUGGUUACCUAAAUACUACUGGUUACCCUACCUCUAUCACCAGUAUCAGUCUCCCCUAUCCCACCACAACCCCUCUGGACUGUAUCAACGGUGGUGAGCUGCAGAGUGGAGUCUGUAUCUGUCCUGAUGAGUGGACCGGAGAGACCUGUUCAGAGGGUACAUCCACACACUUACACUAUACCUAACCCUGGAUCUACCAUUCAGACUCCUCCACAAUACUACACUACUAUACCUAACCCUGGAUCUACCAUUCAGACUCCUCCACAAUACUACACUACUAUACCUAACCCUGGAUCUACCAUUCAGACUCCACUCCAUAAUACUACACUACUAUACCUAACCCUGGAUCUACCAUUCAGACUCCACUCCAUAAUACUACACUACUAUACCUAACCCUGGAUUUACCAUUCAGACUCCUCCACAAUACUACACUACUAUAGCUAAUCUUGGAUCUACCAUUCAGACUCCACUCCAUAAUACUACACUACUAUACCUAACCCUGGAUCUACCAUUCAGACUCCACUCCAUAAUACUACACUACUAUACCUAACCCUGGAUCUACCAUUCAGACUUCUCCACAAUACUACACUACUAUACCUAACCCUGGAUCUACCAUUCAGACUCCUCCACAAUACUACACUACUAUACCUAACCCUGGAUCUACCAUUCAGACUCCACUCCAUAAUACUACACUACUAUACCUAACCCUGGAUCUACCAUUCAGACUCCACUCCAUAAUACUACACUACUAUACCUAACCCUGGAUCUACCAUUCAGACUCCUCCACAAUACUACACUACUAUACCUAACCCUGGAUCUACCAUUCAGACUCCUCCACAAUACUACACUACUAUACCUAACCCUGGAUCUACCAUUCCGACUUCACUCCAUAAUACUACACUACUAUACCUAAUAGAGGUCUACCAAUUUAUCGGAAUGGCCGAUUAAUUCGGGACGAUUUCAAGUUUUCAUAACAAUCGGUAAUCAGCAUUUUUGGACACCGAUUAUGG
This is a long non-coding RNA of Salmo salar (Atlantic salmon), 1286 nucleotides long. RefSeq lists it as uncharacterized. The record is from RefSeq and is a predicted model, not a curated record. Lineage: Eukaryota; Metazoa; Chordata; Actinopteri; Salmoniformes; Salmonidae.